This 524-nucleotide ribosomal RNA is filed under the name uncultured bacterium. RNAcentral's name for it is "partial 16S ribosomal RNA". It matches the Rfam family "Bacterial small subunit ribosomal RNA", at positions 28 to 523 of the family's 1533-position model. The record is from RNAcentral.
GACGAACGCUGGCGGCGUGCCUAAUACAUGCAAGUCGAGCGCAGGAAAUCGACGGAACCCUUCGGGGGGAAGUCGACGGAAUGAGCGGCGGACGGGUGAGUAACACGUAAAGAACCUGCCCUCAGGUCUGGGAUAACCACGAGAAAUCGGGGCUAAUACCGGAUGGGUCAUCGGACCGCAUGGUCCGAGGAUGAAAGGCGCUCCGGCGUCGCCUGGGGAUGGCUUUGCGGUGCAUUAGCUAGUUGGUGGGGUAAUGGCCCACCAAGGCGACGAUGCAUAGCCGACUGGGGAGGGUGAGCGGCCACACUGGGACUGAGACACGGCCCAGACUCCUACGGGAGGCAGCAGUAGGGAAUCUUCCACAAUGGACGAAAGUCUGAUGGAGCAACGCCGCGUGAACGAUGAAGGCCUUCGGGUCGUAAAGUUCUGUUGUAAGGGAAGAACAAGUGCCGCAGGCAAUGGCGGCACCUUGACGGUACCUUGCGAGAAAGCCACGGCUAACUACGUGCCAGCAGCCGCCGUAA